RNAcentral lists this long non-coding RNA (3028 nucleotides) under Mus musculus (house mouse). RNAcentral describes it as "long non-coding RNA chr19:55461212-55464240". Lineage: Eukaryota; Metazoa; Chordata; Mammalia; Rodentia; Muridae. The record is from RNAcentral.
UCCUUUUUUUAAAAAAAGAAAAAAAAAAAAAAAAAAAAAGGACCUCUGCCCUUAAUGGACCCUUCAUGGCCAGAUGGGGCUAUGAAAAUACUCUGAUCUGGGAAUAAAUGCUAAUGUAGGAAUUGUUACUCGAAAGUGAGGAUGGACAACCACUGGUCAGGAGGAAAUCCAUGUGCACUGUUCUUAGGGAGGGCGUAACCAUCACCAUGCACCAUGCUAAGGUUUGGUUCCAGGUGGCUGCAGGUGAUGGGCUGCAUGCUCCCUGGUUUACAGGUUGAGACGUGUGCCAUGCGCACGAACUGGAUCCCACAAGCACCUUGCCCGUGGUUCUGAGCCCCUCUGUGUGACACCACACACAGUUGUGUGACUCCUGGAUGCUGUUACUCGAAGACAAUUUUAUAUUUUUUUUCCAAAAUACUGUUUCACACUAUUACAACUGGGACCGGAGAUGAGAAGGACCAGCGUGUGCUAGGAAACACAUUAAUUGUGCCUAAAAAUAUUUGCUUUUUCUUGAAAUGCCCACUUCCUUCCCAACUGAUCAAAGGAUGAAGGUUCCAGAGAGCCUUUCUUCUGACAGACUUGAUUAUGUAGGAGUUCCCUUCUAGAGAACUUGUUAUUUUAUAAACAUAUGCAUAUGCAUAAUAUAUUCUGCCCAACACUCCCAUUUUCUGAUCUGCGCAGUACAACAGAGUAUCCCAUGGAGUCGCAGAACAAAGAAAAAAUUUCUCUGAAAUCCUUUCCUUGAGCCAAGUGUGCUCCUGGCUUUCUUUCAGAACGAAAACCCCUAGCCUGGAUUGGGUCGCCUGUCUAGUCCUCUGGAGGGAAUGGUAGACCGCGCUGGUGUGCUCUCUGGGGAAGUAGCACGGUUGGGCGUGCUGGAUCUUGGGUAAAUUUUCCUUUCACAGAAUCGGGUUCUCCUCUAGACAGUUUAUCUACUUGUCUGUGUUUCAUUUCCUUGGUGACUCAUUGUUGUGGGCAGCACUUGUUCAUAUUUUGCACAAGAAAUCCCAAGCCCAGAGAAUGUUAAUGACGUGCAAUAGCCGUACAGCUACGAAAUGGUAGGUUUGAGAUUUGAACCCCUGUCCACCCCAACCCCGUGCCUUCACACUUCUGCUUAACCGCAUAGACUCAGGGCUUCAUCAGUGUGCAGUGCGCAGGUGGGAAGGAACCAGUCUCCUCCAGCACAGGGCCCCAGUUCUCCUUCAGUCAGCAGGCACUCCACACAAGCUGUCUGUCUGUCCUGGUUAGGGCGUCUGCCUCCUUCCCUAGUACCUAGAAAGUGGAAAGUGUUGAAAUGGCAUUUGUAACAACACAGGAGAGAGCACAGAGAAAGUAAAACGCCGUACGUUGGGAAGCUGACAAGAGCUCAGGGUAGAAGAAGUUAUAGCAGCCUUAUUUACUUCUGAUGAGGUAAAGCUCACAGUGUAUAUUAUCAACCAUCUCAAAGUACAAGCCAGUAUUGUAAUGUCACCCCUGUCUACUUCCACAACAUCUUCAUCACCUCACAUGAAAUGCUAUGAUAGCUAGUAAGCAGCAAGUUUUGUGGUUUUCCCCCCUUGUAGCCACUAACCCCUGGUAAGGUACCAUCAGUUCUUUCUCCCCAUCCCUGUCACCCUCACUCUCUGGAUUUAUCUUCUCCGGACACUUCCUACACACGACACGCUCAAGACCUUGCCUCCAUUUUGCAGCAGGGCUUUCAAGGUGUCCAUGCUGCAACUUCAGCUCUUUAUUCUUUGUGGCUGAGGGGGGUUGGUUUGUAAUGGAAGAUUGUGAGGCAGCUCUGCCCCUGAAAUGGGACACCAGCCCCUAACCCUCUCUGUAACCGUGAAGGUCAGGUUGCUCUGGAAAGCAAAUUCUGCGGGAAGCUGUGAAGUAAAAGGCACCCGGGUUCACUGAGGGGAGGAGCACCCUAGCCCCUUGUGGAGACCCAGGCUCCACAUUCUGAAGCUUCACUCUUUAGCCACCCUUCCCCUGUCCCUGACCAGAGUGCCCUUUGUCCUCCUCUCUCUCACAUCCUUUGAGGCACUGUGAGGAGAUGCCACACUGUAGAGUCUGGCGAGCCACGCCCAUGCUCAUCCUUUCUCUGGCGUAGUAAAGCUUGUUGGUCGUCUUGGUCACUGAAAGGCGGCAGACAUGCUGCAGUGGUAAUAUUGCCUCUCCCUACACAGACAUUUCCUGCUCCUGUAUAAAUUCUCAGAUGUGCUGUAGCAUUUAUGUAGGUAAAAAUAUGUAGGUAUCAUGUAGGUAAACACCCUGUUUCUAUCUAAGCAUAGUUUCCCACAUGAGUAUGGAAUAUUCUGUAUAGUUUUUACACAUACUGAUUUUCCCACAUGCACAAAAUCAGUGUGUGUGGUGAAAGAGGAGUUAACCCUGGGAAAAUCAGUGGACUAUAACUACAGUGACAACCUGGAGAUCCUACUGGCUGUGUGUGUACCUGUGUGUGUGUGUGUGUGUGUAAAAUCUAGUAAAAAAUACUUUUAUUCAUCUAGCAUGGUUUGCGCUGUCCCUGAAGGAUCCUGACUAACAGGCUUCACCAAAGAACUUACUGCUGCCAGUUCAGACAGGGUGACGUGUUUGCAGCAAGGAGCAUCACCUUUGAACACAGCCCCGUGGGCAAGAUGUGUUGCAUCACCCCACAUUAGCAUGGGGCCAAAGGAAGAGGAACAGGUAGAGGGUUGGGCUAUCUGCCAUGGUCAUGCUGUGCCGUGCUGAUGCUGUAGUGUUUGCAUACCCAUGCUCAAGUAUUCCUGUGUGACAUCACCUGUGUGCUGGUUUCACAUUUGGAUUCAAGUAUAUACCUAAGGGUAUGUAUUUGAAUAAUCCUUCCUAUGCAUUUAUACAUGGAAGCACAUUUUGUUUUAUUAUGAAUUAAUUUCUGUGUUUUUUUUAAUUUAUAUUACAAUCAGGAUAUUAUUUGAACCUUUUAGCCAUAGGUGUCUAUAGAUUAUAUUGGCUUGAAUUUAAUUUCGUGUAGUCAUAGAACACUGAGAAGGAGAAAAAGCUAAGACUCAGUCCAGAACAUACCAGC